GGGGCGUUAGCUCAGUUGGUAGAGCAGCGGACUCUUAAUCCGUAGGUCCAGAGUUCGAAUCUCUGACGCCCUACCA
RNAcentral lists this transfer RNA (76 nucleotides) under Planctomycetota bacterium. RNAcentral's name for it is "Planctomycetes bacterium (wastewater metagenome) tRNA-Lys". It matches the Rfam family "tRNA". Rfam says of the family: Transfer RNA (tRNA) molecules are approximately 80 nucleotides in length. The record is from RNAcentral. Lineage: Bacteria; Pseudomonadati; Planctomycetota.